AUUGAACGCUUGCGGCAUGCCUUACACAUGCAAGUCGAACGGCAGCACGGGAGCAAUCCUGGUGGCGAGUGGCGAACGGGUGAGUAAAGUAUCGGAACGUGCCCAGUCGAGGGGGAUAACGUAGCGAAAGUUACGCUAAUAACGCAUACGCUCAAGGGAUGAUAGAGGGGGCACGCAAGACCUCGCACGUUUAGAUGGGCCGGUAUCAGAUUAGGUAGUUGGUGGGGUAAAGGCUAACCAAGCCGACGAUCUGUAGCUGGUCUAAGAGGACGACCAGCCACACUGGGACUGAGACACGGCCCAGACUCCAACGGGAGGAGGCAGUGGGGAAUUUUGGAAAAUGGGCGAAAGCCUGAUCAAGCCAUGCCGCGUGCAGGAUGAAGGCCUUCGGGUUGUAAACUGCUUUUGUACGGAACGAAAAGGUUUGGCCUAAUAAGCUGAGCUCAUGACGGUACCGUAAGAAUAAGCACCGGCUAACUACGUGCCAGCAGCCGCGGUAA
RNAcentral lists this ribosomal RNA (500 nucleotides) under uncultured bacterium. RNAcentral describes it as "partial 16S ribosomal RNA". It matches the Rfam family "Bacterial small subunit ribosomal RNA", at positions 30 to 523 of the family's 1533-position model. The record is from RNAcentral.